Molecule: ribosomal RNA, 578 nt
Filed under: Acetobacteraceae bacterium AP16
Lineage: Bacteria; Pseudomonadati; Pseudomonadota; Alphaproteobacteria; Acetobacterales; Acetobacteraceae
Also listed under: 1 other name
Description: bacterial SSU rRNA
Rfam family: Bacterial small subunit ribosomal RNA
Source: RNAcentral
CUACGGGAGGCAGCAGUGGGGAAUAUUGGACAAUGGGGGGAACCCUGAUCCAGCAAUGCCGCGUGUGUGAAGAAGGUCUUCGGAUUGUAAAGCACUUUCACUAGGGAAGAUGAUGACGGUACCUAGAGAAGAAGCCCCGGCUAACUUCGUGCCAGCAGCCGCGGUAAUACGAAGGGGGCUAGCGUUGCUCGGAAUGACUGGGCGUAAAGGGCGCGUAGGCUGUUUGUACAGUCAGAUGUGAAAUCCCCGGGCUUAACCUGGGAACUGCAUUUGAUACGUGCAGACUAGAGUCCGAGAGAGGGUUGUGGAAUUCCCAGUGUAGAGGUGAAAUUCGUAGAUAUUGGGAAGAACACCGGUUGCGAAGGCGGCAACCUGGCUCGGAACUGACGCUGAGGCGCGAAAGCGUGGGGAGCGAACAGGAUUAGAUACCCUGGUAGUCCACGCUGUAAACGAUGUGUGCUGGAUGUUGGGUGAUUUUAUCAUUCAGUGUCGGAGCUAACGCGUUAAGCACACCGCCUGGGGAGUACGGCCGCAAGGUUGAAACUCAAAGGAAUUGACGGGGGCCCGCACAAGCGGUG